Oryza sativa Japonica Group (Japanese rice) is the source of this 1527-nucleotide non-coding RNA. NCBI's taxonomy places the organism in Eukaryota, Viridiplantae, Streptophyta, Magnoliopsida, Poales, Poaceae. The record is from RefSeq and is a predicted model, not a curated record.
UUCUAUUUGAAACAAGGAUGUACUUGAUAUAGCGAACAAUACGAGGGGUCUUCUUGCAAAACGGUAUCUGGAAACCACAUGAAUUCCGCCUCUAUCAUAACCGCCCAAUGCUAAUCGAACGGCUCGUGAUCGCGACCACUGGUUGCGACCUAGCCGGCCGCGCCGCCCUCUGAGCCGCCGCCGGUCUCGUCGCCGCCUCGCCGGCGCACUGUCCCCCUCCCCCCUGGCCGCCGGCGGCUGCGAUUAUGGCUUAGAUUUGCACCUCGCCGCCGCUUCCAAUAGUGACCUCAGCAAGAAGAACCGAAGAGCAGCCGCCGUGCAAGAAGACGACCUGAAGCUCCGUCUAGUCCGAGUACACGCUGGGAUGGGGCAAUGCAACCUCGUACCAUCCUUUUCAUCAUUUUUCUCACUGAACUUCUGCGUUGUGUUCUUGAUUGAAACUCAUAGGGCGAUAUUAGAAAGGUGAUUAUUAUUAUUUCUUUGAGGGGAAGAAAGGUGAUUAUUUUGUAGAGUGAACUUGGAAGAGCUCCAGAACCAGGGGCCUGUCAGAGCACUCGUUUCAGGCUUCGAUUCAGAGAGGCAUUGGCGACAUUACGUUGUCUCUGCUGACAGCUAAGAUUGCAAUGGGCAUGGCAAGUGUGAACUGCUGUUGCACUGGGAUGAUCCCAUUCAGCUAUAUACCAGCGGUUUAGCAGUAACUGCUCUAUUAUGAUAAUGCCAGCAAAAAUAUGAGCAGAACAUCAGCAUCAGACCCACCGGUGUCGUCGACGUUUAAAAGAUUAGUAUAAUCAUCUUCAGAACCGUUUCCUCUUGGCUGUAUCACCCAAUUUGGAGGACAAGUGUUAUAUUUUACUGCCUUUUUUCUGUUGCUGAGAAUAUGCAAGAUCAUCGCGUAUCUCACUACAAGAAAAGGUGAAGAGGCGAAAGAUAGAUGCCCCAAAUCCACUUACAAAACUGGUUAGUCGCGUUGUGUUGGUUGUAUGUACCAAUCAGUGAAGAUACCGUGCCAUGGAUCAUAGGCAAGUGAACAAUUUUUUUUCUCUAAAGAAGCUUCGCAAGUGAAAAAUGGAAUAGCUAAUCUCUGAAGAACAGUUGGGUUUCAGAAGCAUAUCAGUUUCCCCGAAGAUAUUAAGCAGUUGAGGUAAGUUAACCAACCCGGGCCAUCCAGAAGCAGCUGCGAAACACAGACGUAUCCAUCUUGAGUAUUAAUAAAAAAUUGACUUAUAAUCUUGGUUUUAUUCUACACGGUUGUUAUCAAAUCUGCACCAUGAAAACGAAAUGAAACAUCUGUCUGAGGGAGAUGAAACAUCUACACGGUUGAAAUAUCUUCCAAGCUACUCUUCUUCUGAACAUUUGUUGUACUCUAGUUGCAGCGUAUCCAACACUUCAGCUGUAAUGUCAUUUCAACACAAGAUGUUACUAGCCCAUAUAAGUGUAAUACAGAACCAAAUUUAAACACUACAAACAUGUCAUAAUUUCUGUGCACGGAACUAGAACACUUCAACCAGUCUUGUUUUCUGAAAACCA